ACAAACUUGGUCAUUUAGAGGAAGUACAAGUCGUAACAAGGUUUCCGUAGGUAAGUAAAUAUCGUAAUCCCCCUUUAACUGUUGAAUUUCCAAUAACUAACCCUUUUUUAGGUGAACCUGCGGAAGGAUCAUUAAAGAGUUAGGGUCUCUGUGGCCUGACCUCCCAACCCUAUGUGUAUUGAACCUGUGUUGCUUCGGCGGACCCGUCGUGAAAACGACCGCCGGAGGACUGUCGAGAGGCGUCCUCUGGCCCGCGUCCGUCGGUGGCCUACAUCUUUAAAAUUCUGAAUGAACCAUGUUUUACGCCUAAGUUCUUUUAAUAAAUUAAAGCAAAAACUUUCAACAACGGAUCUCUUGGUUCUGGCAUCAAUGAAGAACGCAGC
This 383-nucleotide unclassified non-coding RNA is filed under the name uncultured fungus. Its description in RNAcentral is "partial contains small subunit ribosomal RNA, internal transcribed spacer 1, and 5.8S ribosomal RNA". The stretch from base 1 to 134 matches the Rfam family "Eukaryotic small subunit ribosomal RNA", at positions 1759 to 1831 of the family's 1831-position model. The record is from RNAcentral. Lineage: Eukaryota; Fungi.